CCUGCUUUAUUGUGACAUCAGACUGUGACAAGAUUCUACCACACAGACCAGUGUAUAUAAGCAGGACCGGGAUAGGGGUGACAGGAUUCUUAUCAUUUCAGGGCACGAGGAGCACGUGACAGAUCCUACUGGUAAAGACGAGAAUCACCUAGGAGCCCAGACAGAAGCAGUGUUCCCCGCGGUCCUGCUUCUUAGUCAGGAGGGGGCGCCAGAGAACUACAUUGAUCUGUGUGCUCUGUGCUCGAUUGAUAAAACCUGGUCCAGCCAGGCUGCAGAAAAUAAAAGUCCAGGGAAAAAAAAGACAAAGAAAUUCGAAACCAGUCACCAAACACAGGAGAAGUUGCCUCAAACCUUGGACCGUAUAUAGGAUAACGGUGUCCUCACCAGCUCAGUAAAGACAGUUAUGCGUAACCUGAGGUUGGUGUGUUCAUUUACUACCCGUGUCUGUCCCAGGAGAAGUUGCCUCAAACAUUGGACCGUAUAAAGGAUAACGGUGUCCUGGCAUCACGAAGUGAUCAGGAUGGAAUUCUUCAUCGAGGCUGUCAUUUAGAAUAACUGUAGGAUCAGUGCUGUAUCUCUGGAUAAAGCUGUCUUCUCUGUUAGGUGGACCCUGUGUGGAGUUAACAAAAACGCAAAUGAGAAAUUUACUGGAAUACUAUAGCACAGCUUAGAAUUGUAGCAGGAAGGGCUGGCUGGCAAAGGCCCUGGGUACAAAUUGCCAAGAGGACACAGGGAAUUCAUUUUGGCUAAAGUUUGUAGAGUCAAAACUUGGGCUUAUAUGCAUAUUUGCCUUAAAAUGGGUUUGAUACAUUUCCCUCUAUGAGUUUACAGAAAUAGCAUUACAAUAUGGUACUUUUCAGCUCUACUUCUUCAGCACUAAAAGAUUUAUAAUGGCACACAAAGAGAGGCAGGUAGCAUGGUGGGUGGUAUAGUGCAAAGGCAACUAUGUGGCGGAUGAAGAAUCUUGUCCACAGAUUCUAUGAAUUUAACCCCUUCAUUACUUAGCCCCUUUUCACCUUAAUGACCAAUGCCUUUUUUUCAAUCUGACAUGUGUCUCUUUAUGUGGUAAUAACUCUGGAACGCUUUUACUUAUCAACCCAAUUCCGAGACUGUUUUUUCGUGACAUAUUUUACUUUACAUUAGUGGUAAAUUUUGAUUGAUAUAUUCAGCGGUUCUUGUAAAAAAAAUGAAAAAUUUGGCGAAAAAAAUUAAAAAUGUUCAUUUUUCUAGACUUUACCUUUCUGCUCGUACGAUAGUCAUAUCACACCAAAUUAAUGAUUAAUUCACAUCUACAAUAUGUCUAAUUUAUGUUCCCAUCAUUUGAUAAACAUUAUUUUACUUUAUUAGAAUGUUAGAAGGUUUAUAAGUUUAGCAGCAAUUUUCCAGAUUUUCAAGAAAAUUUCAAUAUCUGAUUUUUCAGGGACCAUUUCAGUUCUGAAGUGGAAUU
Hyla sarda is the source of this 1447-nucleotide long non-coding RNA. RefSeq lists it as uncharacterized. The record is from RefSeq and is a predicted model, not a curated record. The transcript has 5 exons. Lineage: Eukaryota; Metazoa; Chordata; Amphibia; Anura; Hylidae.